Cavia aperea (Brazilian guinea pig) is the source of this 77-nucleotide small nucleolar RNA. Ensembl annotates it as small nucleolar RNA, C/D box 53B. The record is from Ensembl. Lineage: Eukaryota; Metazoa; Chordata; Mammalia; Rodentia; Caviidae.
UUGCUGUGAUGACUUUCAUUGUGUUUCGCAUGUUUCUGAGUUCCAGUGAUACCUCUUUCUCUUGGCUGUCUGAGCAA